CCGGUAUAGAUUGGCAUGGCUACGAAUUUCAUGUCAACGGCUCCUCAAAACGGCAGAAGCCGUCGACCGACUUGUUUUCUCUCUCUCCCAAAAAAUUUUCUCUGGAAGGACCUGCUGAUGAGUCCCGCUCCCCCAUCCGAGCAGCUCUCAGAAGCUCAGGAGAGAAAGAGAGAGGGAGAGAAAGAGAGAGAGAGAGAGAGACGAAGAUGCGAGUUAUGGUAAACAGACAGAGACGAUGAUGCGAUUUAUGGGACGGAAGCACGUCUCUCUCUCUUGAGAAUGUCAUCAUCGAACCUCCUCUGCCUUCCUCUCCAAAAAUUCUCAGGAAGCCAUCUUUCGUGCUUGCGUCAAAGGCAGGAGAACUUCCUGUAGCUAGGGUUUUUCUUCUUCUUUUCUCUUCAUAGGUUUUCCAUUUUUUACAAUAUCGCCAGGAGCACCUCAAUUUUCUCUUGCUGUCUGGCUGGAAAUUAAUGUUCGUCGUGGAAUUUGUUUUCCCUGCCCUGCAGAUUCUCCCUUCUUAGAUCCUCAUUGGCCCCCCCUGAAGAAGAAAUGAAGUAAACCGCCGCUUUCUUGCUUGCUGUUGUCAGAGGAAACCCUCAAAAGGACUGGAGACGGGAACCUCACGCAGACGUCAGAGGAAUGCUUGAGGUCAGCCACACUUGAAGCUUCCACACAAAUAGCUGAGCAUACACGCUUCUCAAAAUAUGUAGUUGUACAACCUUUUCUUUUUUCUAAAUAUAUGUUACCAACACAAAUAUAUGUAAGAUGAUAGGAUUGUACCAACACAAUUGUACCAAAUGUUUCAAAAUAUAUGUCACAUGACUAUCUUGCGCUUC
Nymphaea colorata (pocket water lily) is the source of this 836-nucleotide long non-coding RNA. RefSeq lists it as uncharacterized. The transcript is spliced from 2 exons. The record is from RefSeq and is a predicted model, not a curated record. NCBI's taxonomy places the organism in Eukaryota, Viridiplantae, Streptophyta, Magnoliopsida, Nymphaeales, Nymphaeaceae.